UUCGAUUAGAGUUUGAUCAUGGCUCAGAUUGAACGCUGGCGGCAUGCCUCACACAUGCAAGUCGAACGGCAGCAUGAUCUAGCUUGCUAGAUUGAUGGCGAGUGGCGAACGGGUGAGUAAUACAUCGGAACGUGCCCUGUAGUGGGGGAUAACUAGUCGAAAGAUUAGCUAAUACCGCAUACGACCUGAGGGUGAAAGUGGGGGACCGCAAGGCCUCAUGCUAUAGGAGCGGCCGAUGUCUGAUUAGCUAGUUGGUGAGGUAAAGGCUCACCAAGGCGACGAUCAGUAGCUGGUCUGAGAGGACGAUCAGCCACACUGGGACUGAGACACGGCCCAGACUCCUACGGGAGGCAGCAGUGGGAAUUUUGGACAAUGGGGGCAACCCUGAUCCAGCAAUGCCGCGUGUGCGAAGAAGGCCUUCGGGUUGUAAAGCACUUUUGUCCGGAAAGAAAUCGCACUUACUAAUAUUAGGUGUGGAUGACGGUACCGGAAGAAUAAGGACCGGCUAACUACGUGCCAGCAGCCGCGGUAAUACGUAGGGUCCAAGCGUUAAUCGGAAUUACUGGGCGUAAAGCGUGCGCAGGCGGUUGUGCAAGACCGAUGUGAAAUCCCCGGGCUUAACCUGGGAAUUGCAUUGGUGACUGCACGGCUAGGGUGUGUCAGAGGGGGGUAGAAUUCCACGUGUAGCAGUGAAAUGCGUAGAGAUGUGGAGGAAUACCGAUGGCGAAGGCAGCCCCCUGGGAUAACACUGACGCUCAUGCACGAAAGCGUGGGGAGCAAACAGGAUUAGAUACCCUGGUAGUCCACGCCCUAAACGAUGUCAACUAGUUGUUGGGGAUUCAUUUCCUUAGUAACGUAGCUAACGCGUGAAGUUGACCGCCUGGGGAGUACGGUCGCAAGAUUAAAACUCAAAGGAAUUGACGGGGACCCGCACAAGCGGUGGAUGAUGUGGAUUAAUUCGAUGCAACGCGAAAAACCUUACCUACCCUUGACAUGCCACUAACGAAGCAGAGAUGCAUUAGGUGCUCGAAAGAGAAAGUGGACACAGGUGCUGCAUGGCUGUCGUCAGCUCGUGUCGUGAGAUGUUGGGUUAAGUCCCGCAACGAGCGCAACCCUUGUCUCUAGUUGCUACGAAAGGGCACUCUAGAGAGACUGCCGGUGACAAACCGGAGGAAGGUGGGGAUGACGUCAAGUCCUCAUGGCCCUUAUGGGUAGGGCUUCACACGUCAUACAAUGGUGCAUACAGAGGGUUGCCAAGCCGCGAGGUGGAGCUAAUCCCAGAAAAUGCAUCGUAGUCCGGAUCGUAGUCUGCAACUCGACUACGUGAAGCUGGAAUCGCUAGUAAUCGCGGAUCAGCAUGCCGCGGUGAAUACGUUCCUCGGGUCUUGUAGACA
RNAcentral lists this ribosomal RNA (1394 nucleotides) under uncultured bacterium. RNAcentral describes it as "bacterial SSU rRNA". It matches the Rfam family "Bacterial small subunit ribosomal RNA". The record is from RNAcentral.